This 456-nucleotide ribosomal RNA is filed under the name Heterosigma akashiwo. RNAcentral describes it as "partial Bacterial large subunit ribosomal RNA". It matches the Rfam family "Bacterial large subunit ribosomal RNA", at positions 2248 to 2703 of the family's 2925-position model. The record is from RNAcentral. Lineage: Eukaryota; Raphidophyceae; Chattonellales; Chattonellaceae.
AGGACAAUGUAUGGUGGGUAGUUUGACUGGGGCGGUCUCCUCCUAAAGAGUAACGGAGGAGUACGAAGGUGCGCUCAGACCGGUCGGAAAUCGGUCGUAGAGUAUAAAGGCAAAAGCGCGCUUGACUGCGAGACAGACACGUCGAGCAGGUACGAAAGUAGGUCAUAGUGAUCCGGUGGUUCUGAAUGGAAGGGCCAUCGCUCAACGGAUAAAAGGUACUCCGGGGAUAACAGGCUGAUACCGCCCAAGAGUUCAUAUCGACGGCGGUGUUUGGCACCUCGAUGUCGGCUCAUCACAUCCUGGGGCUGAAGCCGGUCCCAAGGGUAUGGCUGUUCGCCAUUUAAAGUGGUACGUGAGCUGGGUUUAAAACGUCGUGAGACAGUUUGGUCCCUAUCUUCCGUGGGCGCUGCAAGAUUGAGAGAGCCUGCUCCUAGUACGAGAGGACCGGAGUGGACG